UUUUUCUUUUUUUUUUUUUUUUUUUUUUUUUUUUUUUUUUUUGGCUUUUUGCCAUUUCCUUGGCCGCUCCCGCAGCACAUGGAGUGGUCCAAGAAAAUGGAAAACAUACAAAAAAAAAAAAAAAAAGAGAGAGAUUAUAGGUAAUAUUCUAAGCCAUGUCCUUGAAGUUGUUUUGCAGGUGCUAAAGCCCCCACUAGGCGGAAGAAGUUAACUGGAUGCUACCCACAAACACAUAGACGCUAGACCUUUGGAACCAGAAGGCUGAUGCUGCUGACUCCCAAUUACCUCACCACUAACCAGUCAGGGAAAUAUCCAGGAGCUUAUCACACCCCGGUCCUUGAACACAGUAAGACUCCUCAGUGCCCCCUCCAAGGCGGGCACAGUCCUUUUUGCCUGGCAAUUAAACUACAUUUUCUGUUUCCUCCAACUCUGUCUCCAUGUUUCUAUUUGGCAUCGGUGUACAGAGGCAGCUGAUAUUUCAGCAAUAAAAGCAAUAGUGUCACAGUCAGAGAGACGUGUGAAGAUGUUAUGCUAUUGGCUUUGAAGAUGGAGCAAAAGGCCACAGCUGAGGAUUGCAGGUCACCUCUAGAAGCUGUGAAGGACAAGGAAACAGCUUCUGCACUGUGCUCUCCAGAAGGAACCCGGCUCUACCAAUACCUUGACUUUUGCUCAAUAAGAUCCAUUUUUAACCACUGACUUUCAGAACUACAAUAUAAUAAUUUGGGUUGGUUUUAGACCACAAAGUUUGGUAAUUUAUUAUAGAAAUUAUCUCAGCCUAUUAGUUAAAUCCUCUCACAAUCUAUGGUGACAGGUAUACACAGAAGGAGAAAACCCAUGAUUUAGGUAAAGGUAUUCAAACAACUUCAGCUGUCAGCAUACUUAUUAUUCAGCUACCAAUAAUGUUACCCAACCAAACUUGGGUCUGCUGGCCCAUAUGCAUAUGGUCAAUCUAUAAAUACCACAUUAUGGAGGGAGGAAAGUACAGUGUUUAUUGUAGGUGCCAGACAAGGGGUCUGGGGCUGCUAAUGCUCAAAGAACCCAAACUCCCUGAUGGGUUUCAGGAAAGCAUUUUAAAGGCUGGGGUCAUGUGAUCUCAGCAUGAUACCCGUGGUCUUCUGGGUUAUCAUAUCUUGAUUUUUCCUAAAAGAAAAAUACUUGCCAAAACGACAUAUUCAUCAGAGAUUAGAACAAUCUAGGAAAGUCCCUUAAAAAAAAUGCUUUUUCAGGAAAGCAUUUUAAAGGCCAAGCAUUUAUCAGGCACAAUGCUUGAUAGUGAGGUCACAGGGCGGGUUCAUGGGGGUUACCACUAUGAAUCCGCGUUUCCAGUAGGUCUGGGUGCUAAAUGCUCAUAGACUUCAAGUAGUUAACGUCUUCCAUUUGGUGGAGAUUUUAGUAUCUAUAAAACAACUCAGGAAAUGUGCAUUAGAUACUGUUAUCCAGGUAUAUAAUAUACUAGGAGUAUCUAGUAUGUUCCUACUUCAGAGAGGAAUUGAAGGUUCUGUGACUGCCAUAUGGCUAAUUUACUGAAUGGGAAAAAGAGAAGAAAAAGCUCCUUCAGAUUAACCAUCACUCAAUAGCAAUGACUGUCUCAAGUGAUUCAUAUAAAAGUAAUAUAAUCAAUGAUAUGGAAUUGUACAAAUGAGCUCACUCCCAGCAAAAGUUCAUGCAAAUUUAUUCCCAUUUGACCCCAUUUGGUACCAGUUCUCUUGGACCAACUGCUACUUUUUGUAGUUAUCACUGCAUGUUUACAUUCUUUCAGUCAUUAGCUCUUGAGCCAGACUUUUGUGACUCAGGGGAGGCCUCGGAGACCAUAGCUUUUCCACAAACAAGAGGUAGGCUGAGGACGAGGAGGAAGGCGUUGUUGCCAAAACAACUUGGCCUCUGUCCGCCACUGUGGAAUAGAAACUCAGAGACAGAGUUUGGGGGGAAGGAGAAGAAAGUUUUUAUUGCUUUGCCAGGCAAAGGAGGCCACGGCAGGCUAAUGCCUUAAAGAUUGCGUCCUCCAUUGAAAGAAUUGUAGGGAGUUUUACAGUAAAAAGGAGAAAAACAGGGUUCCAGAUAACAAUCAGGGUGAGGACAAAUAUGCAUUUGUUGGGAGAAUGUUAGUCAUUAAAGCUGGGGUCAUGUGAUCUCAGCAUGAUACCCGUGGUCUUCUGGUUAUCAUAUCUUGAUUUUUCCUGAAAGAAAAAUACUUGCCAAAAGGACAUAGUCAUCAGAGAUUAGAACAAUCUAGGAAAGUCCCUUAAGAAAAAAUCAUGUGCUUAUAAUCUUUGACCCAGAGACAGUUGUACUCAGGGCGCCUAAUCUGUAGCUCAUGGGUUGUUGUGUUUAGGGUGCAAUUAAGCCAGGGAAGGGAAGCACAAGGAAGGGCUCUAAGCUAUUUUUUAAACUGGUCGUUUCUAGAAGACACAGAAGGAAAUAUAUGUAUCUAUUUACUUUUUAGGACUGCCCAUGUGGCAUAUGGAGGUUUCCAGGCUAGAGGUAAAAUCGUAGCUGCAGCCACUAGCCUAAACCACAGCCACAGCAAUGGAGGAUCCAAGCUGUGUCUGUGACCUACAUCACAGUUCAUGGCAACCCCGGAUCCUUAGCCUGCUGAGCGAGGCCAGGGAUCGAACCCACAUCCUCAUGGAUACUAGUUGGAUUCAUUUCCACUGCGCUACACUGGGAACUCCUGGCAUAUAUCUUUUCUCUUAGGUGUAUGAGGUGCCUGCAUCAGUGUAUGUCCCAGGAAGGCUUUAUAGGAUCUUGCUCAGUUAUAGUUAUUCAUACUUGCUUAAGGAAAUGUUAUGUACUUUAGUACCUAAAAUCUUCCUGGUGAAGCUUUAAUCUGGAGAAUCAACCUUUUUUUUUUUUUUUUUUUUUUUUUUUUUUCCCAAGGCUCAGAUAAAGAUGUGCCCGCUAAGUGUACACUUGCAAGAGAUUAUUCUGAUUGACCAGUGCCUGGGUUUAAAUACUCUGAAUACUAGUGUCUCUUCAAGCAUAGCAGAAAUGAUACAUUUCAUCCUAGUGCAUCAUGAAAAGGAUCUCAGAGAAAUAAGUGAGGCCUGCUAAGGAAAGCGAUACUAUUAGGUAGCUCAGUAGAGAAAAGUACACUCUUCAAGAAGCAAGAACACAGAGCAUGAACAGUCAGUGGGGAAUUGUGACUAGGCUCAAAAAUGAUUCUGUGUGAAAGAUCAGCUGGUUGGACAUGCAGACGGUGCAUGCACAGUUCUCCAUGCUGAAAAGGACCCCCUACUUGCCUUAAUGCCCUGCCAUCAAUGUCUUGGAAUUAUUAAUAAUUUUUCAACAAAGCACUCCACAUUUUAAAUUUUGCACUUGACCCUGCAAAUUAGGUAGCUUGUUCUGACUCUAUGUGCAUGAAAGGGGUGGCCUGGUUUUUUGCUUCAUCUAAUAGAGAUUUUAUCAUACACAGUUUUUGCAGGAAAUACUUCAUCUCAGAUAGAGGUAUCUGCUGGGUUUUUUUGACUUGUCACUAACCUCAAAUGAGUCACCCCAUGCUGUGUACAUAUCUGGCCCUAGCACACUUUUCAAAUCUUUUGAUCACACAAUCUCUUGCCUAACCUAUUGAUCCUUUUUGUAGAUCAAAAAAGUAGAAAUGAGAAAUAAGAAAUUUAGCAGAUAACCAGACUUUUCCCCUAACUUCCUUUUUCGUGACCUCAGGAACAAACUGUGUGAACAAGAAGUCGACCAGCCUGUCCAGAGUAGAGGACUCUGACUCCCAUCUCAAUGAAUAACUGAGAUAACUUCACUUUUUCAUCUUCAAAACUCUCAUGGCGGUUGCGGGUUCGGUCCCUGGCCUUGCUCAGUGGGUUAAGGAUCCGGUGUUGCCGUGAGCUGAGGUGUAGGUGGCAGACACGGCUCAGAUCCCUCAUGGCUGUGGCAUAGGCCAGCAGCUACAGCUCCGAUUAGACCCCUAGCCUGGGAACAUCCAUGUGCUGUGGGAGCAGCCCUAGAAAAGGCAAAAGGACAAAAACCCUCUCAUGGCUGAGCAGAAUCUUUGGUGGUGGUUUUACAGGCACACUGUGUCCACCCUCAUCCCAGACUGCUGGCAUUCUGAUGAAGAGCAGCUUUCCUUUCCCCCAACAUUUGCCUCCCUUGAAUAUUGAGUUUUGCAGUGUUGAGCAGCUGGACCUGAUUCAGUACCGUUAUUUUAAAAGUCAACUUAAAAAAAAUUUUUUUUC
RNAcentral lists this long non-coding RNA (4181 nucleotides) under Sus scrofa (pig). RNAcentral describes it as "lncRNA (ENSSSCG00045015993.1)". The record is from RNAcentral. Lineage: Eukaryota; Metazoa; Chordata; Mammalia; Artiodactyla; Suidae.